CAGCCGCCGCGGGAAUACGUAGGUCCCGAGCGUUGUCCGGAUUUAUUGGGCGUAAAGCGAGCGCAGGCGGUUAGAUAAGUCUGAAGUUAAAGGCUGUGGCUUAACCAUAGUACGCCUUGGAAACUGUUUAGCUUGAGUGCAAGAGGGGAGAGUGGAAUUCCAUGUGUAGCGGUGAAAUGCGUAGAUAUAUGGAGGAACACCGGUGGCGAAAGCGGCUCUCUGGUCUGUCACUGACGCUGAGGCUCGAAAGCGUGGGUAGCGAACAGGAUUAGAUACCCGUGUAGUCCCUGUCUCUUAUACC
This 301-nucleotide ribosomal RNA is filed under the name uncultured bacterium. Its description in RNAcentral is "partial 16S ribosomal RNA". It matches the Rfam family "Bacterial small subunit ribosomal RNA", at positions 509 to 808 of the family's 1533-position model. The record is from RNAcentral.